ACAGUGCUGGGGCCAGGCAGAUGUUGUCCCCGUCCCUCCGGCCAUCAGCCUGUCCCUGAUGCCAGCCUUGCACCCAAGGGUCCUGUCCUGAGGUUUUGCAGCCUCAGGGUGGCCGAGAGGUGUGUGGGUGGCUGCCACCCACAGUGGUCAUGCCCUGGGCUUUUCUUCCCAGAGCCAAGGGCUCCCAGGAGCCUGCACCACCCCCAGCCUCUCCCUGCUUGCCAGGCAGGCAUGGGCAGGGGAGAAGGAUGAGCCCAGUGUUACACGGCAAAGGGGGAGCAGGGAGCAUCAGUCCGGGAUUGCACCAAGCAACACCCGCUGCUCCGAGACAAGCCAGGAGCUCUGGGAAGUCCUGCCUGAUGCAGCGACACGUCACUGCCCUGACAGUUCUCAUUCUGGGGAUGGGCGAUGACACAGGUUGUUUGAUUUCUGGCUUUCCAGCAAGACCUGCUUUCUGAAGGUGCUGCAAGGGAGAUGUAUUUCUGACGCUCCGGACAAAGCCCCGCUGCUUCAGUUUCCCCAGAAAGUGAGGGAAGUGCUGAGAUCUGCUCCGGGAGAAGCAAAGGCAGCAACGGCAGGGCCACGAAACGGUUAAAGCCGUGUCGUGCGCUCCCUCCCGAUUGUUCUGCAAGGUGUGUUGUGACAUUUGUACUUCCUCCUGGCAGCGCCAGGCUGCGGGGAGGGACCGCGGGAUGCUGCCGGUGCCGGGGGCUGCACCAUGGCCCUCCGCGGGCUGGCUGGGCGCUGCGCUGCCAUCCUGCUGCUGGCCCUGCUGUGCGACGUGGUCGGCCUGAUCCUCCUCCUGCUGGGGAUUUUUGCUCCUCUAAGCUACUGGGACUUCUUAAUCUACAUGGGGUCACUGCUGCUCGCCUUCAGCCUCGUCUUCUGGGUCUUCUGGUACACAUUCAACAUCGAGGUCCCCUUUAGGGAGCUGGGAUUUAACUGACUCGCGGCGCCGGCAAAGCCAAAAUGGAAACUCGCACUUGGGAGAGCAUCCUGACCUGCAGGGAAGCUCCAACACAUCAUUCACCCAGUGAAGAGCAUCCCCAAAGGCCAAAAGGAAGGUUCUGUUGUUCCCUGCAGCAUCGCCCACCCAGACGGACCCCCAGGGGAAAGGAACAGAAGAUGACCAGAAUAUGAGGAAUAGGAGCAAGCAGAUGGAGAGGAGUAGCACCAAACUAGGACUCCGUCACACCGCCCUUAGACGUGGUCUUCUAUCGCAAACCUGCCACUGAAAAUACACAGAGAUGCACUACACGGAUCUGCCGGGUGCAUGCUACCACCCUGGGCAUGAGAAGCACAGCCACCCCACACGGAGCCUUCACAUCCCCCCUGAGCACACCAUGCUCACUCUGACCCACGGCCAGAGCCCAACAGGAGCAACCUGGUGGCAGCAGAACCACUGCAAGCUGUCCUGGCAGGGGCCAGGUUUGGAUUGGCAGGAUCCAUCCGGCAGGCAGGACCAGGUCUGCCAAGCUCUCCGCGUGGAUGUGAAGAACAGGCUCAGAGAGGGAGAUGACAAAAUUCAGCAGGACAGAGGAUUUCCUGAACAAAAUCCAGCAGGUGGCUGGGUGGAGGUCUAAGAUACAUUUCAGCUAAUCUCAGCAAGAUCUCAGGCACUUUCUAAGCGGCACUUACUGAAAUGCUCAGAAGGUCUCUGGUUAAAGAUCUACUGGAGCUACAGAGGUGGGAAAGGAUUUAGUGCUUCAUCUGUCAAACUGGUGGUGGCUCAGCACCGAAACAAGCUCCCUGCUGACUCAAAGCACAGCUCUCAGGUGGGAGGGAACAAAAAGAUCCGUGUCUCUUUCCUCCCAUGUUCCUGAUGCAGUCCACAGAGACUUUGUGCAGGAGGGAAACACUCGUAACACCCAUCAGUGGGUUGUUCAGCACUUUCCGUUAUGGACAUCUGGUUUCAGUCAUUUAAGACAUUCCAUUGUGACUUCCCCUCCGAGGUGAAGUUUGGUGCUCCCGUCAGCCCUUCCCUCUGGACACCGGUGGACAGGGCAGCGCUGGCACUUGGACCUCAUCUGUCAGAGGCUCAGAGCAGAGCUAUACCAACAUGCUGCAGGAGAGAUGUUCCCCACCAUUUAUUGCAGAAAGACCUCCACAGACUCCUGUGGGUGAUGGAGGUGCCAUUUGCACACAUGCUGCUUGCACUCAGCCCAGCUCCAUCAGCUCUUUCUCACCCAGUUAGAGAGCUCCCGGGGAGAGCACACAGGGAACAGGACACUCGAGCCUCCACAGGAGGGUUGAGGGGGGGAUGCCCACUGUCACCACUGCCUAGAAAGCAGCUUGGACCAAAUAAUGCUUUACGGGUACCAUCAGGCCCUUGCUGUCCAUGUCAGCCUUAUUACUUACCUGCUUGGGCCAACAGCAGUUGCAGUGGGGCUCAUGGGCAAGUUGUCAUCAUGGGAACUCGUGGCUGGGGAGAACCCAGCAGCUCUUCUCUGCCCCCAGUUCCUGGGGCUCAUGAGCCUGAUGUCAGGGCUGGCAUCUCAGCAACUGCUGGCCCUGCAGCCACUGAACCAUCCUGUCUGCCCUCCCUGGGCAGGAAGGCUCCUGUUCAAGUCCAUGGAUGUGCUGCACACCACAGCCUCAGAGCAUCCAAGUAACUGACGUUGGAAACAGGCAUACUGGGGGCCUGAUCCUGCCCCAAGUAGAACUAGCACCACCUCCUAUCACCCCAGAACACGGCCCAGAACAUCCCCAUAGCAAGGGCUGGCAUCAACCACACCGAGCAGGGUGUGAGGCUGUGUCCUGGGGACGCGGAACGGACCAGAGCCGGUGCAGGGUGUUGUGCAGCGGUCUGCUCUGCAGGAAGGGGGUUGGUGUCACCUGUCUGGGACCUUUUCAUUAAAGUUGCUGCCUUCCUUUUCAAA
Oxyura jamaicensis (ruddy duck) is the source of this 2879-nucleotide long non-coding RNA. RefSeq lists it as uncharacterized. Lineage: Eukaryota; Metazoa; Chordata; Aves; Anseriformes; Anatidae. The transcript is spliced from 2 exons. The record is from RefSeq and is a predicted model, not a curated record.